GAUGAACGCUAGCUACAGGCUUAACACAUGCAAGUCGAGGGGAAACGGCAUUAAGUGCUUGCACUUUUUGGACGUCGACCGGCGCACGGGUGAGUAACGCGUAUCCAACCUGCCCCUUACCAGGGAAUAACCCGUUGAAAGACGGACUAAUGCCCUAUGCAGUCCUUUGACGGCAUCAGAUUAGGACUAAAGAUUCAUCGGUAUGGGAUGGGGAUGCGUCUGAUUAGCUUGUUGGCGGGGUAACGGCCCACCAAGGCAUCGAUCAGUAGGGGUUCUGAGAGGAAGGUCCCCCACAUAGGAACUGAGACACGGUCCUAACUCCUACGGGAGGCAGCAGUGAGGAAUAUUGGUCAAUGGGCGCUAGCCUGAACCAGCCAAGUAGCGUGCAGGACGACGGCCCUAUGGGUUGUAAACUGCUUUUAUGCGGGGAUAAAGUCACCCACGUGUGGGUGUUUGCAGGUACCGCAUGAAUAAGGACCGGCUAAUUCCGU
Molecule: ribosomal RNA, 491 nt
Filed under: uncultured bacterium
Lineage: Bacteria
Description: partial 16S ribosomal RNA
Rfam family: Bacterial small subunit ribosomal RNA
Source: RNAcentral